AGAUUGAACGCUGGCGGCAGGCCUAACACAUGCAAGUCGAGCGGUAGAGAGGUGCUUGCACCUCUUGAGAGCGGCGGACGGGUGAGUAAAGCCUAGGAAUCUGCCUGGUAGUGGGGGAUAACGCUCGGAAACGGACGCUAAUACCGCAUACGUCCUACGGGAGAAAGCAGGGGACCUUCGGGCCUUGCGCUAUCAGAUGAGCCUAGGUCGGAUUAGCUAGGUUGGUGAGGUAAUGGC
RNAcentral lists this ribosomal RNA (237 nucleotides) under uncultured soil bacterium. RNAcentral describes it as "partial 16S ribosomal RNA". It matches the Rfam family "Bacterial small subunit ribosomal RNA", at positions 26 to 264 of the family's 1533-position model. The record is from RNAcentral.